GCCGUACGAUCAUCGAAGUUAAGCUACGUCGAGCCUGGUCAGUACACAGAUGGGUGACCGCUUGUGAAUACCAGGUGCUAUA
Non-coding RNA from Acanthosepion pharaonis, 82 nucleotides. NCBI's taxonomy places the organism in Eukaryota, Metazoa, Mollusca, Cephalopoda, Sepiida, Sepiidae. The record is from the annotation of a GenBank genome assembly.